This 4217-nucleotide long non-coding RNA is filed under the name Homo sapiens (human). RNAcentral describes it as "non-protein coding lnc-PSMB9-6:13". The record is from RNAcentral. Lineage: Eukaryota; Metazoa; Chordata; Mammalia; Primates; Hominidae.
AGGGCAUGUCCGCCGAUCCCAAGGAGGCAAUCUGUCAGGCGCCGCCCGGGCGGCAGUAUGCCUGAGGGGGUCCUCCGUGUUCGCGCCUCCCGCCGCCUGCACUGAAAGGUCUGUACCUGAGCCUGGAUACUUGAACAGAGGCAGACACUGCGGCUCAAAACCCCAAGGAAUAUCCUAGCUCUGAGACAAAAAUUGGGAACCUCAGCAUGAGUUUGUCACCUGAAUGAAAUAAAAAAAAUCACGUUGAAGGCUGGUGCAGUAACAUGUGCCUGUAGUCCCAGCUACUCUGGAGGCUGAGUCAGGAGGAUCACUUGAGACCAGAAGUUCAGGAAUUCAAGACUGGCUUGAGCAACAUAGCAAGACUUCAUUUCAAAACAAACAGAAAAAAGCCACCACCUUCAGUAUUUCUUGCCAAAGCAAAGGAGCCAUUUGUUCUUUACGAUGGUCAGGAAAGGAAGCAUCAAGGUCAUCAAAUGAAAAAUUUUCAGCAUUUCAGCCUCUCUGCUCAGGGAAAUAUCUGAAUCUAGAAUAUCACAACAUGAGCCAAAACCGCCCCAUUUCUCAUGCCACAUGUCACUCUUAACACAAGGUUACUCAACCUCGAGCAUGGUUGGCAUUUGGGGCUGAAUAAUUCUUUUUUGUAGGGGGCUGUCCUGGGCAUUGUAGGAUGCUCAUGAGCUACCUCAGUCUCUACCACCCACUAGAUGCCAGUAGCAUUGACCCCUGAUCUCUCUACCCAAGUUGUGACAACUAAAACCAUCUCUGGAUAAUGGAGGAACCUUAAAUGCAUAUUGCUAAGGAAAAGCCAAUCUGAAAGGAUUACAUAUUGUAUGAGUCCAACUAUAUGGUAAUCUGGAAAAGGCAAAACCAUGGAGACAGUGAAAAGGUAGUGGUUACCAGUGGUCCAUGGGAAGGGUUGGAUGAAUAGGUGGAGCACAGAGGAUUUUUAAGGCAGUGAAACUAUUCUGAAUGAUACUGUAAUGGUGGAUACAUGUCAUACCUUUGUCAAAACCAAUAAAAUAUAACAACCAAUAAAACUGCACAAAGAGUGAACCCUAAUGUAAACUAUGGACUUAAUAAUGUAUCAAUAUUGGCUCACCAAUUUUAACAAAUGUACCACACUAAUGCAAGAUGUUACUAAUAGUGGAAACUGGAGGGAAGAGGGCUUGAGGGGACAUACGGGAACUCUCUGUAAUUCCUGUUCAGUUUUUCUGUAACUGUUAAACUGUCCAAAAAAAGUCUGUUUUUAUAAAUGGAGGCAUGGUUUUAUAUGGACUAAAAUACUAUGAUUGCCUUUUUAUUUUACACAUGGUGAAAUUAGAGCAGGACAUAUUUUAAACUCAAAAUUCACAAAAUUAAUUUAUGAAAAUGUUUACCCAGAUCAAGAAUAUUAAAGAAACUUAGAUUAAUAUUGUUACCUUGAAUUUAUUUUACUGAGUAAUCCUCUAAGACUCCUCUACACAUUAUUAAUCUAGAAGGAUUUUUAAAGUCUUUAUGACAAUUAAUUAUUGGUCUACAGUCAAAUUGCGUAUCCCCAUUAACUAGAGUUAUAUUUUUCCAUUUUCUGAUCCAAAAACUUUAGGAACAGGAAAUGUUUAUUUUAGAAAACAAGAACACUUCUUAAGCAUUUGCUGUUAACAGUUAUUUUCACAUGUGCUUGUACUUAUUUUACACUUGUCAGAACAUAGUAUUUACCUUUGAACCAAGGUUUUAUAAUAAGCAAGCACUUUUUUUAUUUAGAAGUCACAUUUUCCAAGUAGAAAAAUCAUUAAAAAUUCAGUCCUCUGAAGGCUAAUUUCUUUAAAUCAUUUAACCUAAUUGUUUAAGGUAUAGAUUGGAAUUUUUCUCAGCACUCUCUUGAAAACAGGUGACAGUGGAACCCUGUUAGGUUCACAAAUCCUAGACUUUGAUUAUAUAGCCCAGGCUCAAAUUUUUCUCGAAUGUUACGAACAUUCAAAGCAUUAGGAGUCUUGGUUUCAUUUCUUAAUUUUUUUUCUUCUGGGUAUAUUUGAGACUCAUCUUGGAUUCAAAUAAAUUAAUAAUAGUCUCAUGAAACCGAUAAAAAUGGGAGCUCCAUUGAACAUGAGAGACAUUGAUUCGUAGUUUCUAACAUCCUCCAAAUGAGGAGCCCAUCCCUAAUUUAGAUGCUUCUUUCAAAGGAGGCUCCUUUCCUUCGUUAUCCAUAAUAUAGUCACACCAGUCCUGAAAAAACAUGGAACAGACUCCAGAUCUUUAUAUUUCAUACUCUAAAGUCGUACAAGCCAAUCUGCAUUUCCUCUAGUGGAAACUGUAUAGCUGGUCAUCUUUCCAGGACCCUUUUAUCAAGAAACAAUGCAGCUUCUACAUUUGUGCUGCUUCUACACCAAAACAGCUGGAAUGUAUAUAGUAUGGUUCUGGAUGCUCUUGUAUACCUCACUCUUCAUUUCUCACCUAACCCAUGUGCUAUGAUUUGAAUGUUUCUCCCCUGCAAAACUCAUGUUGAAAUGUAAUUGCCAUGAUAACAGUAUUAAUAGGUGGAAUAUUUAAGAGGUGAUUAGGGUGGGAUUGGUGAUGUUAUAAAAGGGUAAGUUCAGCCCCUUCUUGCUCUCUCUGUCACCCUUCCACCUUCCUCUGUGUGAUGAUGCAACAAAAAAGCCCUUCCCAGAUGCCAGCAUCUUGAUUUUGGACUUCUCAGCCUACAGAACUAUAAGCCAAUAAAUUUCUGUUAUUUGUUAUUAGUCUGUGAUAUUCUGUUACAGUAGCACAAAAUGGACUAUGACACCAUGUGUUUACACAGAAAGAAAAAAAUAUCAUACGGUAAUUGCUCCUAAAUAUGCAGAGAAUAUGUUCUGAUAUCCUUAGUGGAUGCCUGAAACUGCAGAUAGUACCAAACCUUAUAUAUACUAUGUUUUUUUUCCCAUACAUAUGCAUGUUAAAGUUUAUAAGUUAGGCAGAGUAAGAUAUGAACAAUAACUAAUAAUGAAAUAGAAACGUAACGAUGUGCUGUAAUAAAAGUUAUGUGACUGACGCCUCUUUUUCUUCCUCUUUCUUUCAAAAUAUCUUAAUAUUUUCAAGCCAUGGAUAACUGAAACUGCAGAAAGUGAAACUGUAGAUAAACUAUUAACUCUAUUUAAACAAUAAAAGAAUUAUAAUUAUAUUCUUGGGAAAAUUAACAAUUAUCCAAAGUCCCUUUGCAAAGGGAAAAAAAAUGCAUGUAUUGGAAAAAAUCUCAACCACAGGGUUCCCUAAGCUUUGCAAACAACAAAUAGCAUCCACCUAUCCAUCCUCAGAGAGCAACAGUUUUACUGUUAUUUAGAAAAAGCAACUAUUUCAGGCUGCAGGUUGUGCACAUCAGCACUUCCCAGCUCUCUACUAAUAUGGGAAAACUGACUAUCCCUGACUUCAGUUUUUGUGAAGCUAAAUGCCUGACUAGAGUUUAAACUGAGGCUAAUUGGAGAUCAUAAAAUUUUACAGCUUGCUAGAGGUGGACCACAAUUUUGAUUGGAAACUUUCCACCAACCAAUUCUAAAAGGUGUUAAUGGUGACUAUUUUCUAAAACAAAUCUGAAGAGUAACUAAUAUGAUAAGACCAGAAAUAUAUUUCUCUGGCAAGUCCCUAUAAAAAGAAAGCUAGGUAAUUAAAUAAUCUCUCAACAAUAUUGUUUUAGGAAACCCAAUAGAGAGUUUCACAGGCCUGUUUCUUAUGGGAUUGCUCAAUGUAGGUAAAUAUUAUCAAACCAAAAAGUAAUUUUGUAACAGAAAUUCUACAGAGCCCCAAUACCUUACAGAAUGAUGAGUACAACAGUAGAAACAAAUAGAAGAUAACCUAGAAAAAUAAAGCGAAUAACUUAAUGGCGUGAGUUAGGUUAAGAAAAGCUUCCUGGAAAAAGACAUCUGAAUAGAAUUUUAGUAGAUAUAGCUAGGAAUUCCCAAGCAGGUAGAAGAAGGGGGACAUUCCAGGCAAAGGAAUCAUGUGAAUGCAAAGGUAGGGAGUCAUGAAUCAAUAUGUUCGGUUUUUUUGUUGUUUUUGUUUUAUAAAGAGCUAUAAUAGGCUGGGCACAGUGGCUGUAAUCCCAGCACUUUGGGAGGCUGAAGCAGGUGGAUCACUUGAGCCCAGGAGUUCGAGACCAGCCUGGGCAACAUGGCAAAACACUGUCUCUACAAAAACAAAAAAAAUUAUCCCUGUUCAGUGGUGUGCGCCUGUGGUCCCGGCUACCUGGGAGGCUGAGGCGAGAGGAG